GUCAGCAUAGCAUAGUGGUUUGAGUGUUGGACUAUGACUCUAGAGACCAGGAUUCAAUUCCCAGCUUGGCCA
RNAcentral lists this transfer RNA (72 nucleotides) under Phrynosoma platyrhinos (Desert horned lizard). RNAcentral describes it as "tRNA-OTHER". Lineage: Eukaryota; Metazoa; Chordata; Lepidosauria; Squamata; Phrynosomatidae. The record is from RNAcentral.